GAUCGGCCACAUUGGGACUGAGACACGGCCCAAACUCCUACGGGAGGCAGCAGUAGGGAAUCUUCGGCAAUGGACGAAAGUCUGACCGAGCAACGCCGCGUGAGUGAAGAAGGUUUUCGGAUCGUAAAACUCUGUUGUUAGAGAAGAACAAGGAUGAGAGUAACUGUUCAUCCCUUGACGGUAUCUAACCAGAAAGCCACGGCUAACUACGUGCCAGCAGCCGCGGUAAUACGUAGGUGGCAAGCGUUGUCCGGAUUUAUUGGGCGUAAAGCGAGCGCAGGCGGUUUCUUAAGUCUGAUGUGAAAGCCCCCGGCUCAACCGGGGAGGGUCAUUGGAAACUGGGAGACUUGAGUGCAGAAGAGGAGAGUGGAAUUCCAUGUGUAGCGGUGAAAUGCGUAGAUAUAUGGAGGAACACCAGUGGCGAAGGCGGCUCUCUGGUCUGUAACUGACGCUGAGGCUCGAAAGCGUGGGGAGCAAACAGGAUUAGAUACCCUGGUAGUCCACGCCGUAAACGAUGAGUGCUAAGUGUUGGAGGGUUUCCGCCCUUCAGUGCUGCAGCUAACGCAUUAAGCACUCCGCCUGGGGAGUACGACCGCAAGGUUGAAACUCAAAGGAAUUGACGGGGGCCCGCACAAGCGGUGGAGCAUGUGGUUUAAUUCGAAGCAACGCGAAGAACCUUACCAGGUCUUGACAUCCUUUGACCACUCUAGAGAUAGAGCUUCCCCUUCGGGGGCAAAGUGACAGGUGGUGCAUGGUUGUCGUCAGCUCGUGUCGUGAGAUGUUGGGUUAAGUCCCGCAACGAGCGCAACCCUUAUUGUUAGUUGCCAUCAUUCAGUUGGGCACUCUAGCAAGACUGCCGGUGACAAACCGGAGGAAGGUGGGGAUGACGUCAAAUCAUCAUGCCCCUUAUGACCUGGGCUACACACGUGCUACAAUGGGAAGUACAACGAGUUGCGAAGUCGCGAGGCUAAGCUAAUCUCUUAAAGCUUCUCUCAGUUCGGAUUGCAGGCUGCAACUCGCCUGCAUGAAGCCGGAAUCGCUAGUAAUCGCGGAUCAGCACGCCGCGGUGAAUACGUUCCCGGGCCUUGUACACACCGCCCGUCACACCACGAGAGUUUGUAACACCCGAAGUCGGUGAGGUAACCUUUU
Molecule: ribosomal RNA, 1149 nt
Filed under: Enterococcus faecium C621
Lineage: Bacteria; Bacillati; Bacillota; Bacilli; Lactobacillales; Enterococcaceae
Description: bacterial SSU rRNA
Rfam family: Bacterial small subunit ribosomal RNA
Source: RNAcentral